UUUGAUUAUGGCUUAGAUUGAACGCCUGGCGGCAGGCUUAACACAUUGCAAGUUCGAACGGUAACAGGGAUUAGCUUUGCUAAUUUUGCUGACGAGUGGCGGACGGGUGAGUAAUGCUUGGGAAUCUGGCUUAUGGAGGGGGAUAACUACGGGAAACUGUAGCUAAUACCGCGUAAAAUCUUCGGAUUAAAGGGUGGGACUUUCGAGCCACCUGCCAUAAGAUGAGCCCAAGUGGGAUUAGGUAGUUGGUUAGGUAAAGGCUGACCAAGCCGACGAUCUCUAGCUGGUCUGAGAGGAUGACCAGCCACACUGGAACUGAGACACGGUCCAGACUCCUACGGGAGGCAGCAGUGGGGAAUAUUGCACAAUGGGGGGAACCCUGAUGCAGCCAUGCCGCGUGAAUGAAGAAGGCCUUCGGGUUGUAAAGUUCUUUCGGUGACGAGGAAGGUUGAUAGGUUAAUAGCCUAUCAAAUUGACGUUAAUCACAGAAGAAGCACCGGCUAACUCCGUGCCAGCAGCCGCGGUAAUACGGGGGGUGCGAGCGUUAAUCGGAAUAACUGGGCGUAAAGGGCACGCAGGCGGUGACUUAAGUGAGAUGUGAAAGCCCCGGGCUAACCUGGGAUUGCUUUCUACUGGGUCGCUAGAGUACUUUAGGGAGGGGUAGAAUUCCACGUGUAGCGGUGAAAUGCGUAGAGAUGUGGAGGAAUACCGAAGGCGAAGGCAGCCCCUUGGGAAUGUACUGACGCUCAUGUGCGAAAGCGUGGGGAGCAAACAGGAUUAGAUACCCUGGUAGUCCACGCUGUAAACGAUGUCGAUUUGGGGAUUGGGCUUUGAGCUUGGUGCCCGUAGCUAACGUGAUAAAUCGACCGCCUGGGGAGUACGGCCGCAAGGUUAAAAACUCAAAUGAAUUGACGGGGGCCCGCACAAGCGGUGGAGCAUGUGGUUUAAUUCGAUGCAACGCGAAGAACCUUACCUACUCUUGACAUCCAUGGAAUCUUGUAGAGAUACGAGAGUGCUUUCGGGAACCAUGAGACAGGUGCUGCAUGGCUGUCGUCAGCUCGUGUUGUGAAGUGUUGGGUUAAGUCCCGCAAACGAGCGCAACCCUUAUCCUUUGUUGCCAGCGAUUAGGUCGGGAACUCAAAAGGAGACUGCCAGUGAUAAACUGGAGGAAGGUGGGGAUGACGUCGAAGUCAUCAUGGCCCUUACGAGUAGGGCUACACGACGUGCUACGAAUGGCGUAUACAGAGGGAAGGCGAAGCCUGCGAGGAGGAACGAAAUCUCAGAAAAGUGACGUCUGAGUCCCGGAUUGGAGU
RNAcentral lists this ribosomal RNA (1313 nucleotides) under uncultured bacterium. RNAcentral describes it as "bacterial SSU rRNA". It matches the Rfam family "Bacterial small subunit ribosomal RNA", at positions 12 to 1304 of the family's 1533-position model. The record is from RNAcentral.